RNAcentral lists this ribosomal RNA (406 nucleotides) under uncultured bacterium. RNAcentral's name for it is "partial 16S ribosomal RNA". It matches the Rfam family "Bacterial small subunit ribosomal RNA", at positions 30 to 526 of the family's 1533-position model. The record is from RNAcentral.
AUUGAACGCUAGCGGGAUGCUUUACACAUGCAAGUCGAACGAGUGGCGGACGGGUGAGUAAUAUAUCGGAACGUGCCCAGUAGCGGGGGAUAACUACUCGAAAGAGUGGCUAAUACCGCAUACCAUCGGAUGUGCCCAGAUGGGAUUAGCUUGUUGGUGGGGUAACGGCUCACCAAGGCGACGAUCCCUAGCUGGUCUGAGAGGAUGACCAGCCACACUGGAACUGAGACACGGUCCAGACUCCUACGGGAGGCAGCAGUGGGGAAUAUUGCACAAUGGGCGCAAGCCUGAUACAGCCAUGCCGCGUGUAUGAAGAAGGCCUUCGGGUUGUAAAGUACUUUCAGCGGGGAGGCGUUACCCACAGAAGAAGCACCGGCUAACUCCGUGCCAGCAGCCGCGGUAAUAC